RNAcentral lists this ribosomal RNA (274 nucleotides) under uncultured bacterium. RNAcentral's name for it is "partial 16S ribosomal RNA". It matches the Rfam family "Bacterial small subunit ribosomal RNA", at positions 523 to 796 of the family's 1533-position model. The record is from RNAcentral.
AUACGGAGGGUGCAAGCGUUGUUCGGAAUUACUGGGCGUAAAGCGCGUGCAGGCGGUAAGGUAAGUCAGAUGUGAAAGCCCCGGGCUCAACCCGGGAAGUGCAUUUGAUACUGCCUUUCUUGAGUAUGGGAGAGGAGAGUGGAAUUCCCAGUGUAGAGGUGAAAUUCGUAGAUAUUGGGAGGAACACCCGUGGCGAAGGCGACUCUCUGGACCAAUACUGACGCUGAGACGCGAAAGCGUGGGGAGCGAACAGGAUUAGAUACCCUAGUAGUCC